Molecule: ribosomal RNA, 552 nt
Filed under: Sungouiella intermedia
Lineage: Eukaryota; Fungi; Ascomycota; Pichiomycetes; Serinales; Metschnikowiaceae
Description: eukaryotic LSU rRNA
Rfam family: Eukaryotic large subunit ribosomal RNA
Source: RNAcentral
CCAAAGGGGUAUUGCCUUCAGUACGGCGAGUGAAGCGGCAAAAGCUCAAAUUUGAAAUCCUUCGGGAGUUGUAAUUUGUAGGUUGGGAGACCCCGCGGCUAGUGGCACCAAGUCCCUUGGAACAGGGCGCCUUAGAGGGUGAGAGCCCCGUAGGUACCACAAUACCGUCUUGUGUCUCCUCUCCAAAGAGUCGAGUUGUUUGGGAAUGCAGCUCAAAGUGGGUGGUAAAUUCCAUCUAAAGCUAAAUACCGGCGAGAGACCGAUAGCGAACAAGUACAGUGAUGGAAAGAUGAAAAGCACUUUGAAAAGAGAGUGAAACAGUACGUGAAAUUGUUGAAAGGGAAGGGCUUGCAAGCAGACACGGCCUUCGUGCCGGGCCAGCAUCGGUUGCUAGGGGUGGAUAAGGAACAAGGAAUGUAGCUCCUCGGAGUAUUAUAGCCUUGCGCGAUACACCCACUGGCGACCGAGGCCUGCGGUAUUCCUACCUAGGAUGCUGGCGUAAUGGUUGCAAGCCGCCCGUCUAAAAACGGGGGACCAAAAUUUGGGCCCCCC